GAAAAAAAAUCUAUUAUCCGGCGGCCUUGGAUGGGUUUGAAUUCAGUCCACGUUUUUUUAUUUUAUUCGUGACUAGAUCCACACUCAUCCAAGGAUACCGGGGUUUAUA
Molecule: microRNA precursor, 109 nt
Filed under: Polistes canadensis
Lineage: Eukaryota; Metazoa; Arthropoda; Insecta; Hymenoptera; Vespidae
Source: RNAcentral